AGUGAACGCUGGCGGUAGGCCUAACACAUGCAAGUCGAACGGCAGCACAGUAAGAGCUUGCUCUUACGGGUGGCGAGUGGCGGACGGGUGAGGAAUACAUCGGAAUCUACUUUUUCGUGGGGGAUAACGUAGGGAAACUUACGCUAAUACCGCAUACGACCUACGGGUGAAAGCAGGGGAUCUUCGGACCUUGCGCGAUUGAAUGAGCCGAUGUCGGAUUAGCUAGUUGGCGGGGUAAAGGCCCACCAAGGCGACGAUCCGUAGCUGGUCUGAGAGGAUGAUCAGCCACACUGGAACUGAGACACGGUCCAGACUCCUACGGGAGGCAGCAGUGGGGAAUAUUGGACAAAGGGCGCAAGCCUGAUCCAGCCAUACCGCGUGGGUGAAGAAGGCCUUCGGGUUGUAAAGCCCUUUUGUUGGGAAAGAAAAGCAGCAGGUUAAUACCCCGCUGUUCUGACGGUACCCAAAGAAUAAGCACCGGCUAAUUUCGUG
This 492-nucleotide ribosomal RNA is filed under the name uncultured bacterium. Its description in RNAcentral is "partial 16S ribosomal RNA". It matches the Rfam family "Bacterial small subunit ribosomal RNA", at positions 29 to 507 of the family's 1533-position model. The record is from RNAcentral.